AUAAGGGCCCCCUUAUUUUAGCUACUUUAUUUUUGGUAAAUCUUAGAAAAGUACUUAAUAGUCUUAUUUUUUGCAAAGCGACCAUUUUCAACAUUUUGUGUGUUGAAUUUCAGC
Molecule: long non-coding RNA, 114 nt
Organism: Priapulus caudatus
Lineage: Eukaryota; Metazoa; Priapulida; Priapulimorpha; Priapulimorphida; Priapulidae
Exons: 3
Source: RefSeq, a predicted model, not a curated record